GUAGACCAGUGAUAGAAACCAUUCACUCCAACAAAAACCCUCUUCAGAUCUCUUCUGAUUAAACCAACUAGAUCAAGAUAAUCACAGUUGCAACCGCAUCAUAUGGGAAGUCAUGAAUUUCUUAACUGCACUAUGAUUAUCAUAUCUCUCAGUCAACUUGCCCGUUUAUCCAGACCCAAAUACCAGCAGGACAUGAGGAUCAAAGCAAACCACUGAGGAGGCAGCUGUAUUAUAAGAGAACUGCUUGCUAGAUGCGGCAAACAUUUCAUAAAUUCCUCUCCUUGAAGCAAGUCUGCACAUAAUCUACCCAGAGCCAGGACAAUCAAUGGAUUUCUGAAUUCAUUAGUCUUAUUAUUACAGGAUAACUGUUUUCUCUUCAUAGAGGGGUGGUUGUUGCAAGCCAGCUUGCAAAACAGCUCUUAAUGCUGACCAUUUCUUUCUGGUAAUGCCUUUGCAUUUUUGCUGUGCCACAGCAUGAAAAUGAUUUAAAUCACUUCUACACAGUAUGUUUUUUCUAAGGACUUGGAAUAAACCAAUUGACAUAUAUUGAGGUAGGAAGCAUUGAAAUAUACUAAAUUCUUCCAGCCAUAAUUACUGCCUACCUGCUCAUAUGCUUCCAUGCAUCAAUAUACUGACCAAAUAUUUUCUGGGCUCAAUGACAGCAAAUCAUAAUACUGGAAGCAGAGAUUAUAUCACUGUACUAGCAUCAUAACACACAGACUAAAAUUACUGUUGUAAAAGCAGGUGCUAAAGAAGAAACAGAUUUCUACCUGCUUUGUGCUGCAUGUGUUGUCUGGAAUUAAAAAUAAGAAUUAUUUUGAUUAAUAAGGGAUCAGACACAAAAGCAACAGGUACUUCUAAUUUCUCAUCUUCUUAAACAAAAACUUAAAACAAUAGUUCAAAGUAUGUUGGGGAAGUGACAUUCAUCUGGUUCAUUGUUUAGUGUUUGCUCUUUGCAAGCUUUAACUAAAAUUCCUUAAAGUUUAGAACCUCAUGCUUUUUAAAGGAGACUGAAAGCAUAAUUCGAAAAAUGUGGCAGAUGAUAAAUUUCACCACAGUGCAAUGCUGUGUAACAAACAUACGCAACACAAGGAAAAGGGAAUAUAAUUUCUCACUCAUGUCAGAUUAGGGGACAAUUAUCAGACAGAACUGGGAAUGGAGCCUUUGAUUUACUGAGCAAAACCUUUUAAAUAUUUAGAACUAGAUUCUUGUAUAGUUCCUUUGUAUUGUAUCGUCAGCAUGAACAGGCUCUGAACACACAUAUUAUGGCCUAAGAAGAGCUAAGCAGCCAAGGAGAUGUUUAUGUCAGAUUCAGAUAGUAUAAGGACUCUUCUUUCCUGCCACAGUAUACAGGGAAAAGGGAUAAUGGUCAGAGAUAAAGAAAAUAAACAAGGUGGCACUAUUCUACAGUAAGAAUAGUGGAUUUUGUCCCUUGGGGUUAUUUACAGCCACUUAGAAAAAUGUCGCCGUCACGCUGCUCCAACCCAGCAGAGGCAAACUUGUCCCACACAGAACAGCAGCAGGAUUAGCAAAGAGGAGAAUUGAAUUCUGUGCCCAUUUUGCAUGCACACCCUAACUUACACUGUGCAGGUCAAUUAAACCUGUUUUUUUUCUAUCCAAGUAUUUCAGUAACUGUUCCUAAACUCUGAAAGUCCUGAAAACCUGUGUUUGCACUAGUGAAUGAUUAACAGUUACAACAGAUAUUUUGUACAAAGUUAUUUUUGAAACUAAAGCGCAGUUUUUUUUCUCAAGUACGUCAUGAAAGUUAGUAAAGGUGAGCAAAGAGGUUUAUACACUUAUACCCUAUGGAUGUGAAGCAAAAAACAGUCAUACAUUUCUUUC
Long non-coding RNA from Gavialis gangeticus (Gharial), 1842 nucleotides. RefSeq lists it as uncharacterized. NCBI's taxonomy places the organism in Eukaryota, Metazoa, Chordata, Crocodylia, Gavialidae. The record is from RefSeq and is a predicted model, not a curated record. The transcript is spliced from 3 exons.